This 450-nucleotide ribosomal RNA is filed under the name uncultured bacterium. RNAcentral's name for it is "partial 16S ribosomal RNA". It matches the Rfam family "Bacterial small subunit ribosomal RNA", at positions 354 to 796 of the family's 1533-position model. The record is from RNAcentral.
GUGGGGAAUUUUGGACAAUGGGCGAAAGCCUGAUCCAGCCAUGCCGCGUGCAGGAUGAAGGCCUUCGGGUUGUAAACUGCUUUUGUACGGAACGAAAAGACUCUGGUUAAUACCUGGGGUCCAUGACGGUACCGUAAGAAUAAGCACCGGCUAACUUCGUGCCAGCAGCCGCGGUAAUACGAAGGGGGCUAGCGUUGCUCGGAAUUACUGGGCGUAAAGGGCGCGUAGGCGGACAGCUUAGUCAGAGGUGAAAUCCCCGGGCUCAACCUGGGAACUGCCUCCAAAACUGCAUGACUAGAGUACGGUAGAGGGUAGUGGAAUUUCCUGUGUAGCGGUGAAAUGCGUAGAUAUAGGAAGGAACACCAGUGGCGAAGGCGACUACCUGGACUGAUACUGACACUGAGGUGCGAAAGCGUGGGGAGCAAACAGGAUUAGAAACCCUAGUAGUCC